This 63-nucleotide transfer RNA is filed under the name Enterococcus faecalis. Its description in RNAcentral is "tRNA-Ile". The record is from RNAcentral. Lineage: Bacteria; Bacillati; Bacillota; Bacilli; Lactobacillales; Enterococcaceae.
AGCUCAGCUGGUUAGAGCAAACGGCUCAUGACUAUUCGGUCGAUGGUUCGAAUUCAUCAUGGU